RNAcentral lists this ribosomal RNA (382 nucleotides) under uncultured eukaryote. RNAcentral describes it as "partial 18S ribosomal RNA". It matches the Rfam family "Eukaryotic small subunit ribosomal RNA", at positions 592 to 976 of the family's 1831-position model. The record is from RNAcentral.
CAAUAGCGUAUAUUAAAGUUGUUGCAGUUAAAAAGCUCGUAGUUGGAUUUCUGGUGGGAGCGAUCGGUCUGGCGCUUAGCGCGAGUACUUGCAUCGUCUCCGGCCAUCCUUGGGGAAAGUCUGUCUGGCAUUAAGUUGUCGGGCAGAGGAUCCUCAUCGUUUACUGUGAAAAAAUUAGAGUGUUCAAAGCAGGCUUAUGCCGUUGAAUAUAUUAGCAUGGAAUAAUAAGAUAGGACUUUGGUACUAUUUUGUUGGUUUGCGCACCAAAGUAAUGAUUAAUAGGGACAGUUGGGGUAUUCGUAUUCCGUUGUCAGAGGUGAAAUUCUUGGAUUUACGGAAGACGAACUACUGCGAAAGCAUUUACCAAGGAUGUUUUCAUUAA